Molecule: unclassified non-coding RNA, 245 nt
Filed under: plant metagenome
Description: partial contains small subunit ribosomal RNA and internal transcribed spacer 1
Rfam family: Eukaryotic small subunit ribosomal RNA (bases 1-46)
Source: RNAcentral
AAGUCGUAACAAGGUUUCCGUAGGUGAACCUGCGGAAGGAUCAUUAGAAUGAGUUUCCGGACCAUGUCGUAGGUGAAAGCCUACACGUGCCCAGUAAGCGUCGUAAACCUCCACCCUUGUAUAUUAUUCUUUGUUGCUUUGGUAGGCCGCGAGCUUUUCGGGCGAGGCGCUGGCUCCGGCUAGAGAGUGCCUGCCAGAGGCCCAACUCUGUAACUAGUGAUGUCUGAGUACUAUUAAUAGUAAAA